RNAcentral lists this ribosomal RNA (497 nucleotides) under uncultured bacterium. RNAcentral describes it as "partial 16S ribosomal RNA". It matches the Rfam family "Bacterial small subunit ribosomal RNA", at positions 28 to 507 of the family's 1533-position model. The record is from RNAcentral.
GAUGAACGCUGGCGGCGUGCCUAAUACAUGCAAGUCGAGCGAACGGACGAGAAGCUUGCUUCUCUGAUGUUAGCGGCGGACGGGUGAGUAACACGUGGAUAACCUACCUAUAAGACUGGGAUAACUUCGGGAAACCGGAGCUAAUACCGGAUAACAUUUUGAACCGCAUGGUUCAAAAGUGAAAGACGGUCUUGCUGUCACUUAUAGAUGGAUCCGCGCUGCAUUAGCUAGUUGGUAAGGUAACGGCUUACCAAGGCAACGAUGCAUAGCCGACCUGAGAGGGUGAUCGGCCACACUGGAACUGAGACACGGUCCAGACUCCUACGGGAGGCAGCAGUAGGGAAUCUUCCGCAAUGGGCGAAAGCCUGACGGAGCAACGCCGCGUGAGUGAUGAAGGUCUUCGGAUCGUAAAACUCUGUUAUUAGGGAAGAACAUAUGUGUAAGUAACUGUGCACAUCUUGACGGUACCUAAUCAGAAAGCCACGGCUAACUACGUG